RNAcentral lists this long non-coding RNA (1176 nucleotides) under Homo sapiens (human). RNAcentral describes it as "HSALNT0349798". Lineage: Eukaryota; Metazoa; Chordata; Mammalia; Primates; Hominidae. The record is from RNAcentral.
CAAACUUACAGACUGGGACUCCAAGGAUCAGCCAGAUGAAAUGCUAUGUGCAGAGUCUUCAUUUCCCAGCUCAGUGGUGGACAGCAGAGGACUCUAAGAAUCACCUCAUAAAUGAACUACCUUGACAUGCCCUGACCCAGGCUCUUUAUUUGGAAACCCAGGCUAGGACAGGAAUGAAGAGAAGCCAGACCUUCUGACUCGAAGAUCCAGCCACCUCUUGGGAUGCACACGUUUCUCUUCAACUGCGUGAUGUGAACUGCGUCACAUGAUCACCAUCUACCCCUAUAACCACCAGCCCCAACCCAGGCUCACUGAAUUGGAAUUUCUGAAGUGAAUUAUCAACAGAAACUACCUAGAGAAACCUGUAACUUCAGAUCUUCUGAUUAAUUGAUUUUCUUUGGGUGCUGCUUGACAGUAACAGAAUGGUCCAUGGGGACAGUUUUUCAGUGAAUGUUUUCAACAAUGAUAGGAACACAGAGCUAAGCAGAGUGUCAAGAGACAUUUAGUGCAGUAGAGACAUCUCAUCUGUUUUUCUGCAGAACUUGCAUAAAAUUAGCAUCUGAUUAUUAUCACCUCAGAAUGAACCGGAACCCGUAAAGAUGUCUUUGAUCGUAAAAGUGGGGAGGAGACCCUGAUGGAAGAAGAGAAGACUUCAGCCUCACAAUAGAAAAGACUGUGUUUAUGCACCUAAAUCUAACUUAGACACCAUCUAAUUCAAGAAACAGGCACAUUUAGGGAAAUAAAGAAAAGAGGCAGAAAGAGAUGAAGCACCUUGGCUGAAUCAGAGAAAUUAGGGGUUAAUGUUCCAGACUGAUGACUUGAAGGAGGGUGUGCAUUUUCAUGCAAGGGACCAUUCUGUAGAAGAAGCAGCACAUUCACCCUUAAAUGAGCAAAGAGAAUCCCAAUCACUCUCCCUCUCACCCUCCCCUUUUCCUUCAUUUCUCUAGCUCUUUAUUUCCAAGAAGGCCAGCCCUUCUCUUCAGCCACAUGGUAUUUGGACAGCCUAGGCUCAAUCCCUGCAGGGAAAGCUCAAUCAGCCAGCUGAGCCAGUCACUGAACAACCAAGUCUGGUAAGAACAGGGGUGAAGUAUUUAAGAAGCCUAUCGUGGCUGGAGGGCUAAAGCCUUGUUCUCAAAUCAGCUUUAUAGGUAAUAAAACUGACAUUAAAGCAAAAAC